GAGGGUAUAGCUCAAGUGGUAGAGCCCAUGCUUAGCAUGCACGAGGUCCUGGGUUCAAUCCCCAGUACCUCCU
RNAcentral lists this transfer RNA (73 nucleotides) under Camelus bactrianus (Bactrian camel). It matches the Rfam family "tRNA". From Rfam's summary of the family: Transfer RNA (tRNA) molecules are approximately 80 nucleotides in length. Their secondary structure includes four short double-helical elements and three loops (D, anti-codon, and T loops). Further hydrogen bonds mediate the characteristic L-shaped molecular structure. tRNAs have two regions of fundamental functional importance: the anti-codon, which is responsible for specific mRNA codon recognition, and the 3' end, to which the tRNAs corresponding amino acid is attached (by aminoacyl-tRNA synthetases). tRNAs cope with the degeneracy of the genetic code in two manners: having more than one tRNA (with a specific anti-codon) for a particular amino acid; and 'wobble' base-pairing, i.e. permitting non-standard base-pairing at the 3rd anti-codon position. Lineage: Eukaryota; Metazoa; Chordata; Mammalia; Artiodactyla; Camelidae. RNAcentral also lists the same sequence under 2 other names. The record is from Rfam by way of RNAcentral.